This 446-nucleotide ribosomal RNA is filed under the name uncultured bacterium. RNAcentral describes it as "partial 16S ribosomal RNA". It matches the Rfam family "Bacterial small subunit ribosomal RNA", at positions 338 to 795 of the family's 1533-position model. The record is from RNAcentral.
CCUACGGGUGGCUGCAGUCGAGAAUCAUUCACAAUGGGGGAAACCCUGAUGGUGCGACGCCGCGUGGGGGAAUGAAGGUCUUCGGAUUGUAAACCCUUGUCAUGUGGGAGCAAAUUAAAAAGAUAGUACCACAAGAGGAAGACACGGCUAACUCUGUGCCAGCAGCCGCGUUAAUACAGAGGUCUCAAGCGUUGUUCGGAAUCACUGGGCGUAAAGGGUGCGUAUGCUGUUUCGUAAGGCGUGUGUGAAAGGCGCGGGCUCAACCCGCGGACGGCACAUGAUACUGCGAGACGAGAGUGAUGGAGGGGGAAGCGGAAUUCUCGGUGUAGCAGUGAAAUGCGUAGAUAUCGAGAGGAACACUCGUGGCGAAGGCGGGUUCCUGGACAUUAACUGACGCUGAGGCACGAAGGCCAGGGGAGCGAAAGGGAUUAGAUACCCUUGUAGUC